This is a long non-coding RNA of Acanthochromis polyacanthus (spiny chromis), 3028 nucleotides long. RefSeq lists it as uncharacterized. The transcript has 3 exons. Lineage: Eukaryota; Metazoa; Chordata; Actinopteri; Pomacentridae. The record is from RefSeq and is a predicted model, not a curated record.
UAAGGACAAAACCCACGACCUCACAGGUUUAAGGACAAAACCCACGACCUCACAGAUUUAAGGACAAAACCCACGACUUCACAGGUUUAAGGACAAAACCCACGACCUCACAGAUUUAAGGACAAAACCCACGACUUCACAGGUUUAAGGACAAAACCCACGACCUCACAGGUUUAAGGACAAAACCCACGACCUCACAGAUUUAAGGACAAAACCCACGACUUCACAGGUUUAAGGACAAAACCCACGACCUCACGGGUUUAAGGACAAAACCCACGACCUCACGGGUUUAAGGGCAAAACCCACGACUUCACAGGUUUAAGGACAAAACCCACGACCUCACGGGUUUAAGGACAAAACCCACGACCUCACAGGUUUAAGGACAAAACCCACGACCUCACAGAUUUAAGGACAAAACCCACGACUUCACAGGUUUAAGGACAAAACCCACGACCUCACAGAUUUAAGGACAAAACCCACGACUUCACAGGUUUAAGGACAAAACCCACGACCUCACAGGUUUAAGGACAAAACCCACGACCUCACAGGUUUAAGGACAAAACCCACGACCUCACAGAUUUAAGGACAAAACCCACGACUUCACAGGUUUAAGGACAAAACCCACGACCUCACAGAUUUAAGGACAAAACCCACGACUUCACAGGUUUAAGGACAAAACCCACGACCUCACAGGUUUAAGGACAAAACCCACGACCUCACAGAUUUAAGGACAAAACCCACGACCUCACAGGUUUAAGGACAAAACCCACGACCUCACGGGUUUAAGGGCAAAACCCACGACCUCACGGGUUUAAGGGCAAAACCCACGACUUCACGGGUUUAAGGACAAAACCCACGACCUCACGGGUUUAAGGGCAAAACCCACGACCUCACGGGUUUAAGGGCAAAACCCACGACCUCACGGGUUUAAGGGCAAAACCCACGACCUCACGGGUUUAAGGGCAAAACCCACGACCUCACGGGUUUAAGGGCAAAACCCACGACCUCACGGGUUUAAGGGCAAAACCCACGACCUCACGGGUUUAAGGGCAAAACCCACGACCUCACGGGUUUAAGGGCAAAACCCACGACCUCACGGGUUUAAGGGCAAAACCCACGACCUCACGGGUUUAAGGGCAAAACCCACGACCUCACGGGUUUAAGGGCAAAACCCACGACCUCACGGGUUUAAGGACAAAACCCACGACCUCACAGAUUUAAGGACAAAACCCACGACUUCACGGGUUUAAGGACAAAACCCACGACCUCACGGGUUUAAGGACAAAACCCACGACCUCACGGGUUUAAGGGCAAAACCCACGACCUCACGGGUUUAAGGGCAAAACCCACGACCUCACGGGUUUAAGGGCAAAACCCACGACCUCACGGGUUUAAGGGCAAAACCCACGACCUCACGGGUUUAAGGGCAAAACCCACGACCUCACGGGUUUAAGGGCAAAACCCACGACCUCACGGGUUUAAGGGCAAAACCCACGACCUCACGGGUUUAAGGGCAAAACCCACGACCUCACGGGUUUAAGGGCAAAACCCACGACCUCACGGGUUUAAGGGCAAAACCCACGACCUCACGGGUUUAAGGGCAAAACCCACGACCUCACAGAUUUAAGGGCAAAACCCACGACCUCACGGGUUUAAGGGCAAAACCCACGACCUCACGGGUUUAAGGGCAAAACCCACGACCUCACGGGUUUAAGGGCAAAACCCACGACCUCACGGGUUUAAGGGGAAAACCCACGACCUCACGGGUUUAAGGGCAAAACCCACGACCUCACAGGUUUAAGGACAAAACCCACGACCUCACAGGUUUAAGGACAAAACCCACGAGUUCACAGAUUUAAGGACAAAACCCACGACCUCAUGGGUUUAAGGGCAAAAUCCACGACCUCACGGGUUUAAGGGCAAAACCCACGACCUCACAGAUUUAAGGGCAAAACCCACGACCUCACAGGUUUAAGGACAAAACCCACGACCUCACAGGUUUAAGGACAAAACCCACGAGUUCACAGAUUUAAGGGCAAAACCCACGAGUUCACAGAUUUAAGGGCAAAACCCACGAGUUCACAGAUUUAAGGGCAAAACCCACGACCUCACAGGUUUAAGGGCAAAACCCACGACCUCACAGGUUUAAGGACAAAACCCACGACCUCACGGGUUUAAGGACAAAACCCACGACCUCACGGGUUUAAGGACAAAACCCACGACCUCACAGGUUUAAGGGCAAAACCCACGACCUCACAGAUUUAAGGGCAAAACCCACGACCUCACAGAUUUAAGGGCAAAACCCACGACUUCACGAGUUUAAGGACAAAACCCACGACCUCACAGAUUUAAGGGCAAAACCCACGACCUCACAGAUUUAAGGGCAAAACCCACGACCUCACAGAUUUAAGGGCAAAACCCACGACUUCACGAGUUUAAGGACAAAACCCACGACCUCACAGAUUUAAGGGCAAAACCCACGACCUCACAGGUUUAAGGACAAAACCCACGACCUCACAGAUUUAAGGGCAAAACCCACGACUUCACAGGUUUAAGGACAAAACCCACGACCUCACAAGUUUAAGGACAAAAUCCACGACCUCACAGGUUUAAGGACAAAACCCACGACCUCACAGGUUUAAGGGCAAAACCCACGACCUCACAGGUUUACGGUGAGGAUGAAUUUCACGCUGAAUAAACAGAAAAAACCUGCAGCUGAGGUGAAAAUCUGCUGUCCACACAUCUAAAAGUAACAGAAGCACAGUGUAAUUCCUGUCACACCUUCAGAAUUAAAGAAUAAAGACAAUAAUCUUCAUGACAUUUCCAGUCUGAUGUCUUAUAAUUUGCUUUUUAAUCACCAGGAAACAAACCCAGGGCUCAAUUUACCAAAUUAAAAGACUGGAGAAGCAGAAAUCUUAACUUUGAAAGCAGCAAAAACUAAUUAAAUCAGAAAUUUUACAGAUUAAAAUGCAGAAUUUUUGUCUCUAAAAUCCAAAUUUUCUCACAUUUCUUGACCAAUAUGACAAAA